This 477-nucleotide ribosomal RNA is filed under the name uncultured bacterium. RNAcentral's name for it is "SSU rRNA". It matches the Rfam family "Bacterial small subunit ribosomal RNA", at positions 26 to 518 of the family's 1533-position model. The record is from RNAcentral.
AGGACGAACGCUGGCGGCGUGCUUAACACAUGCAAGUCGAACGAGGCCCUACCUUCGGGUAGGUGACCUAGUGGCGAACGGGUGAGUAACACGUGGGCAACCUACCCUCAGCUCUGGGAUAACCCCGGGAAACCGGAGCUAAUACCGGAUAUGACCUUGAGUGACAUCGCUCUUGGUGGAAAGUUUUUCGGCUGAGGAUGGGCCCGCGGCCUAUCAGCUUGUUGGUGGGGUAAUGGCCCACCAAGGCGACGACGGGUAGCCGGCCUGAGAGGGCGAACGGCCACACUGGGACUGAGACACGGCCCAGACUCCUACGGGAGGCAGCAGUGGGGAAUAUUGCGCAAUGGGCGAAAGCCUGACGCAGCGACGCCGCGUGAGGGAUGAAGGCCUUCGGGUUGUAAACCUCUUUCAGCAGGGACGAAGCGAAAGUGACGGUACCUGCAGAAGAGCACCGGCCAACUACGUGCCAGCAGCCGC